AGAGUUUGAUCCUGGCUCAGGAUGAACGCUGGCGGCGUGCCUAAUACAUGCAAGUCGAACGAGUUUUGGUCGAUGAACGGUGCUUGCAUCGUGAUUCAACUUAAAACGAGUGGCGGACGGGUGAGUAACACGUGGGUAACCUGCCCUUAAGUGGGGGAUAACAUUUGGAAACAGAUGCUAAUACCGCAUAAAUCCAAGAACCGCAUGGUUCUUGGCUGAAAGAUGGCGUAAGCUAUCGCUUUUGGAUGGACCCGCGGCGUAUUAGCUAGUUGGUGAGGUAACGGCUCACCAAGGCCAUGAUACGUAGCCGAACUGAGAGGUUGAUCGGCCACAUUGGGACUGAGACACGGCCCAAACUCCUACGGGAGGCAGCAGUAGGGAAUCUUCCACAAUGGACGCAAGUCUGAUGGAGCAACGCCGCGUGAGUGAAGAAGGCUUUCGGGUCGUAAAACUCUGUUGUUGGAGAAGAAUGGUCGGCAGAGUAACUGUUGUCGGCGUGACGGUAUCCAACCAGAAAGCCACGGCUAACUACGUGCCAGCAGCCGCGGUAAUACGUAGGUGGCAAGCGUUAUCCGGAUUUAUUGGGCGUAAAGCGAGCGCAGGCGGUUUUUUAAGUCUGAUGUGAAAGCCCUCGGCUUAACCGAGGAAGCGCAUCGGAAACUGGGAAACUUGAGUGCAGAAGAGGACAGUGGAACUCCAUGUGUAGCGGUGAAAUGCGUAGAUAUAUGGAAGAACACCAGUGGCGAAGGCGGCUGUCUGGUCUGUAACUGACGCUGAGGCUCGAAAGCAUGGGUAGCGAACAGGAUUAGAUACCCUGGUAGUCCAUGCCGUAAACGAUGAAUGCUAGGUGUUGGAGGGUUUCCGCCCUUCAGUGCCGCAGCUAACGCAUUAAGCAUUCCGCCUGGGGAGUACGACCGCAAGGUUGAAACUCAAAGGAAUUGACGGGGGCCCGCACAAGCGGUGGAGCAUGUGGUUUAAUUCGAAGCAACGCGAAGAACCUUACCAGGUCUUGACAUCUUUUGAUCACCUGAGAGAUCAGGUUUCCCCUUCGGGGC
Molecule: ribosomal RNA, 1055 nt
Filed under: Lacticaseibacillus zeae DSM 20178 = KCTC 3804
Lineage: Bacteria; Bacillati; Bacillota; Bacilli; Lactobacillales; Lactobacillaceae
Description: bacterial SSU rRNA
Rfam family: Bacterial small subunit ribosomal RNA
Source: RNAcentral